RNAcentral lists this long non-coding RNA (1236 nucleotides) under Zostera marina. RNAcentral's name for it is "long non-coding RNA (ZMAR_LNC004801)". Lineage: Eukaryota; Viridiplantae; Streptophyta; Magnoliopsida; Alismatales; Zosteraceae. The record is from RNAcentral.
UCCAAUCUCUGAAUAAUGGAUCGCACGAUUCUUCUUCUUCUCUUUCUUCUUUCUCUGACCGUCUUCUCACUCGCCGUACAAGGGACCGGAAUUUCAGAACAGCAACAACAACCGGUUCUGGGUAUCUCGUCGAUCAAGUAUGGACGCCGGAUGUUGUUAAAUGGGUUCCCACCACAUCGCCGCUGGCCGCCUUCCGGUCCGAGCACUCGGGGGAAUAGUAUGAGGGAUUAAUAUAUAUAUAGCAUUAAUAAUUUUGCCUUAACAAACCAGCACUGGACAUCCCCCUCCCUCUCCCUCUCCCUUCCACCGACGAGAAGAUAGAGUGCAUAUACAUACAACAUAAAUACUAUUGAUUUGUUGCUUAGGAAUUAAACUUGUAUCUUUUAUAAGUUUUUGAUCGAGAUAUUGUAAACUGUAAUUUUCAUUAUUUUAAUUUGGUCCUUCUCUUCUAUCAUGAAUCAGCUAAGCUUUCGUUUUCAACCACAGGGAUGGGCAUGGGUACAAAGUACGAUCAACCCAUCCUCUACGGCCGGUGGCCGGUAAACAGUGGCUGUCCAAGAAGAGCAGGUAUUGUAUUUAACUUGCUCUCUCUCGGAAAAGUAGGAGUUGAAAAAACCCACACACGUAAGGUAAGAUCACCAGUUGUUGCAUGUCGGCGAUAACUCUUCGAAAAAUAACCCGUCCUUAUCGACCUUGCCAUGCAAAAAAAAAAAUCACAGCAAGAUCUUUACCUGUCGACCAAAGGAACAGUUACAGUUAAUACAGUAACCGUGUUUACUUUUCUUUUCUUUUCUUUGAUGGUAAAACAGUAAAUUUAAUGACAUGAUUGAAUGAUUGAAUAUACAUACAUCAAGACAAAAAAUGAAAAAUAUAUAUACAGGAUGAUCGACGGAUCGAUAACCACAUCUCAACCUCCACCAACAAUGGCAAAUUCCGGUUAUACAUUUUCAGAUAUCACCGUAAAACUCAUACCCUAUGCCUGGUUCUAUAUGCUUAGAGAUAUGGGUAGAUGUGUAUGUCGAUGUAGAGGUAGAAAAAGAACCGGAGAUAAAGGUAAAGAUAAAGGUAGUAAAACGGCCACCGACUGCCGGAAUCGAACGCCGCAUUUGGAAUCAGGAAGAGCGUCUAAUUACGUACCCAGUCGUUCAGCUUAUGUUGUACAUGAUAGUGGUGGUCUCCUGAGAGAAGCAGCUGACACGUCCAAAAUGAGGAGCUUCCGUAGAGAUGUCAAUAUCG